RNAcentral lists this long non-coding RNA (237 nucleotides) under Glycine max (soybean). RNAcentral describes it as "long non-coding RNA (GMAX_LNC004614)". The record is from RNAcentral. Lineage: Eukaryota; Viridiplantae; Streptophyta; Magnoliopsida; Fabales; Fabaceae.
UUAAACACAUAUCUCUGAUUAUGAAGUUAUCAUGCUGCCCACCCAUUGCUCUUAUUUUCAAUCAUGGUUAGCUUUUCAUUCUUCGCUCUAAUUGUUAGAAAUUCAAAAGAUUCUAUGUUAUGGUGUCUCCAAACAAGAGUAUUGAAGUGUCACAACAAUACAACCUUGUCGUCGCACAACCUGUCCUCAAUGUCGUUGGUCGUCUUAUUGGAACUGUGUUUAAAUUGUAUUAUGCUG